Molecule: ribosomal RNA, 370 nt
Filed under: uncultured organism
Description: bacterial SSU rRNA
Rfam family: Bacterial small subunit ribosomal RNA
Source: RNAcentral
CGGGGGGGCAAGCGUUGUUCGGAAUUACUGGGCGUAAAGGGCGCGUAGGCGGUUUGCUAAGUCGGAUGUGAAAACUCUGGGCUCAACCAGAGCCUGCAUCCGAAACUGGCAGGCUAGAGUUCUGGAGGGGGUAGCGGAAUUCCUGGUGUAGCGGUGAAAUGCGUAGAUAUCAGGAGGAACACCGGUGGCGAAGGCGGCUACCUGGACAGGAACUGACGCUGAGGCGCGAAAGCUAGGGGAGCAAACAGGAUUAGAUACCCUGGUAGUCCUAGCCCUAAACGAUGGAUACUUGGUGUGACUGGGAUUGAAUCCAGUCGUGCCGAAGCUAACGCAUUAAGUAUCCCGCCUGGGGAGUACGGUCGCAAGGCUG